UUCUGUGUGUUUGUGUAUGUAUGUAAAAGAGUGAGAGAUUGACAGAGAGAGAGAGAGAGAGAGAGAGAGAAAGACAGAGAGGGGGAGAAGGCAGGAGUGUGUAGUGUUAAACAGGAGAGCUAGAGUAAAAGAAAAAAAAAUAGGUGCUUGUAAAAGAGAGGGAGAGAGAGGAAAAUGAAAGAUAGUCAAAGAAGACAAGAGGAAUAUAUAUAAAUUUUGUUGGAGGAGAGAGAAAGAGAGGGAGAGAGGGAGAGAGAGAGAAGGAGAGUGAGUGAGUGAGAGAGAGAGAGCAGAGACAGAAAGGAAAGGAGGAAGAGUUUAAAAAUUACCCCUACAGAAAAAGGAUAAAAAAGGCCCACACACACCUCCCCUACAAAAUGUGGGGGGGUGAACUUAUUAAGAGGAAGACUGUCAACAGGCUUUCGUUCAACACAACACAAUUUUACUUCCACUUCAAAGACUGGAGAACAGCAAAUAGCGAAAUAUGAAAUUUUAUAGAAUCUGCCUCAUUCUAAGAUAUUACCACAUGGAAUUUUCUUCCUCAUUUCUCAGUCGGAAAUACUGGAAUGGAUGUUAAUUAAGUGAACAAAAAUUUCAACCAACGCUUUUCAAUUUUAUUUUAUUUUUUUUAUAUCUGUGAGUCUUCAUCCUUACUUGAAUAACACAUUGAAGGAUAUAUAUAUAUAAAAAAAAAAUUAUACAUACAUAUACCUGUAUAUAUAUAUAUUUAUAUAUAUAUGUAUAUACACACAUGCG
Molecule: long non-coding RNA, 756 nt
Organism: Octopus sinensis (East Asian common octopus)
Lineage: Eukaryota; Metazoa; Mollusca; Cephalopoda; Octopoda; Octopodidae
Exons: 2
Source: RefSeq, a predicted model, not a curated record